AAGUCGUAACAAGGUUUCCGUAGGUGAACCUGCGGAAGGAUCAUUAACACGUUCUAUACGUAUUAUCAACCAACAGCGAACUGUAGCUCCCUAGUUAAUUAAGUAUCGUCAUUUUAUGAGUAGUCUGGUUUUGGUGAGGUCGGCAUCCACGCAAGUGGACAGCUUAAGCCAUCGUUUGUUUACAAAUGAAGGUCAGACACACUGGGCGAAAGUAAGUCGAUUCUCGGUUUCGAUCGAGGAUACGGGCGGUGAAUUAUUCUCUAGGCUUACCCCUUCUCACAACUUUCCAACCUCCUUGGAGGGAAGUGAGAAUACCAUAACUGUAUUCACUCUAUUUUACCUAUUUGACUAAUAAUGAAGUCAUUGGAUAACUCCUUUGACUGACUAAGAUUAAAUCUUAACUAAGCACAACUCUUAGCAAUGGAUAUCUUGGUUCUC
RNAcentral lists this unclassified non-coding RNA (438 nucleotides) under fungal sp. RNAcentral describes it as "partial internal transcribed spacer region". The stretch from base 1 to 46 matches the Rfam family "Eukaryotic small subunit ribosomal RNA", at positions 1786 to 1831 of the family's 1831-position model. Lineage: Eukaryota; Fungi. The record is from RNAcentral.